Molecule: ribosomal RNA, 472 nt
Filed under: uncultured bacterium
Lineage: Bacteria
Description: partial 16S ribosomal RNA
Rfam family: Bacterial small subunit ribosomal RNA
Source: RNAcentral
UGGGGAAUAUUGGACAAUGGGGGGAACCCUGAUCCAGCCAUGCCGCGUGUGUGAAGAAGGCCUUAUGGUUGUAAAGCACUUUAAGCGAGGAGGAGGCUACUAGUAUUAAUACUACUGGAUAGUGGACGUUACUCGCAGAAUAAGCACCGGCUAACUCUGUGCCAGCAGCCGCGGUAAUACAGAGGGUGCGAGCGUUAAUCGGAUUUACUGGGCGUAAAGCGUGCGUAGGCGGCCAUUUAAGUCAAUGUGAAUCCCGAGCUUAACUUGGAAUGCAUCGAUACUGGAUGGCUAGAGUAUGGGAGAGGAUGGUAGAAUUCCAGGUGUAGCGGUGAAAUGCGUAGAGAUCUGGAGGAAUACCGAUGGCGAAGGCAGCCAUCUGGCCUAAUACUGACGCUGAGGUACGAAAGCAUGGGGAGCAAACAGGAUUAGAUACCCUGGUAGUCCAUGCCGUAAACGAUGUCUACUAGCCGUU